GUGCUCGCUUUGGCAGCACAUAUACUAAAAUUGGAAUGAUACAGAGAAGAUUAGCAUGGCCCCUGCUCAAGGAUGACAUGCAAAUUCGUGAAGCAUUCCAUAUUUUU
RNAcentral lists this small nuclear RNA (107 nucleotides) under Tupaia belangeri (northern tree shrew). The record is from RNAcentral. Lineage: Eukaryota; Metazoa; Chordata; Mammalia; Scandentia; Tupaiidae.